Molecule: non-coding RNA, 200 nt
Filed under: Clostridiales bacterium
Lineage: Bacteria; Bacillati; Bacillota; Clostridia; Eubacteriales
Description: T-box sequence
Rfam family: T-box leader
About the family: Uncharged tRNA acts as the effector for transcription antitermination of genes in the T-box leader family. T-boxes are found upstream of many aminoacyl-tRNA synthetase genes and some amino acid biosynthetic genes usually in Gram-positive bacteria.
Source: RNAcentral
AAGAACACGUUGAAGAGGACAAGUAAAGUGGCUAGACCAUGGAGAGAGAGAAAAUCACCGGCUGCAAGUUUUCUUAUGGAAAGGCGCUUGAAAUUCACCUCGGAGUGCGACUAAUCAUCGCCGCUGGCCGCGUUAAAAGCAAUCGAGAGCAUGGCUAAGGGUCAUGAAUUAGGAUGGUACCGCGUUCAAACGUUCCUAUU